AAACCCCCUCGCCGAAAGACUAAGGUUUCCUGAUCAACGCUAAUCGGAUCAGGGUCAGUCGGGUCCUAAGGCUCAGCCGAACGGCGAUGCCGAUGGCAGAAACGGUUAAUAUUCCGUUACUACCUUCAGGAGUGACGUGGAGACGCAGUAGUGACAGUGCCGCCAUCUGACGGAAUAGAUGGUUGAAGGGUGUAGGAGUCGAUCAUGGCAGGCAAAUCCACCAUGAGAUCCGAACCUGAUAGUAUGCCGCGUCCUUCGGGACAAGGCAAUAGUGCGCGUAAGCAUGCUGCCGAGAAAAUCCGCUAAACUUAAUCCUGUAGGUACCCGUACCGCAAACGGACACACGUAGUCGGGAUGAAUAUUCUAAGGCGCUUGAGUGAUUCACGGUUAAGGAACUAGGCAAACUGACCCUGUAACUUCGGGAUAAAGGGUCCCUACCCUUUUAUGGGAGGGCGCAGAGAAUCGGUCCAGGCAACUGUUUAACAAAAACACAGGGCUGUGCCAAAUCGAAAGAUCCAGUAUACAGCCUGACACCUGCCCGGUGCUGGAAGGUUAAGAGGAGAUGUCAUCGAUAAGAGAAGCGUUGAAUUGAAGCCCCAGUAAACGGCGGCCGUAACUAUAACGGUCCUAAGGUAGCGAAAUUCCUUGUCGGGUAAGUUCCGACCUGCACGAAUGGUGUAAUGAUCUGGACGCUGUCUCAACCGUGAGCUCAGUGAAAUUGUAGUAUCGGUGAAGAUGCCGAUUACCCGCGAUGGGACGAAAAGACCCCGUGAACCUUUACUAUAGCUUAUCAUUGAAUCUGGGCACGUGAUGUGUAGGAUAGGUCGGAGGCUUUGAAGCAGGUACGCCAGUAUUUGUGGAGCCGCUGUUGAAAUACGACCCUUUAUUUGUUUGGAUUCUAACCCGUGGAUACGGGGACAUUGAUUGGUGGGUAGUUUGACUGGGGUGGUCGCCUCCAAAAGCGUAACGGAGGCUUCUAAAGGUGCCCUCCGGCCGAUUGGUAACCGGCCUUAGAGUGUAAUGGCAUAAGGGCGCUUGACUGGGAGACUGACAAGUCGAUCAGGUAGGAAACUAGAGCAUAGUGAUCCGGUGUUUCCGUAUGGA
RNAcentral lists this ribosomal RNA (1104 nucleotides) under metagenome. Its description in RNAcentral is "bacterial LSU rRNA". It matches the Rfam family "Bacterial large subunit ribosomal RNA", at positions 1326 to 2437 of the family's 2925-position model. The record is from RNAcentral.